CGCGCCCCACCCCGAGCAGCUCUGCGAGCUGGAGAUCCGGAUCAAGGAGCUGGAGCUGCUCACCAUCACCGGCGACGGCUUCGACUCCCGGCGCUAUCAACUCCUAAAGGCACUAAAAGAGGAGACGCUACAGGGACUGAAGACCAGGCCCACUGGCAGGAAGCCGGCCCCCGCCUCCUGAGAGCUGCCAGUCGGCUGCACCGCCCUCCCGGGUCUUGGUGCUUGGAUGCUAUGUCUGUUGUCAGUUCAAAGAUCGUUAUUUUCUGUUCUGCA
This is a long non-coding RNA of Carlito syrichta (Philippine tarsier), 273 nucleotides long. RefSeq lists it as uncharacterized. Lineage: Eukaryota; Metazoa; Chordata; Mammalia; Primates; Tarsiidae. The transcript has 2 exons. The record is from RefSeq and is a predicted model, not a curated record.